AGCCAAUGUCUUCUUACAGGUCAAACCUGUGUUUACACUGGAAAGGUGUGAAAUAGAGGUAGAACGUAGCUGGCAAGUCAAUAUACUGUGUCUCAGGGAAAGUUUUUACAUUUAAUUACAAAUAUGACAUAAAAUUUGGAUUUUUGAUGGGAAAUCAUCUGCAACUUCAGCAGUGUUUGAAGAAAUGUUAUGACUGAUCAUAAAUGAGAAGGACAUUCAUUGUGAAGGAUACCUUUCCAGUCAUCCUCCACUCUACUGGUUUUCUACAGAUCUCUGCUUCCAAAAGUGCUGAAACAGAGCUCAUGAUUCCUCCACUGUUCAGGAUACCUAGAGACAAAUGAUAUGGAAAAAGGCCUCCAUGACAGGUCCCUACUGGCACUGACUGUACAAGCAGGAGGACACCUAGGCAGAAGACGUCUCCUUCUUCCUCCCUCCCUCCCAGGAGUUGCUCUCCAGUCACCUCUGCAAGCCUGUGUAUUACCUAUGUUUCUGAAAGGAAGAGUUGACAGAGUAUUUAAUUUUGAAUUUUGAAAAAAACAAAUUGUUUCACUUAAAAUCUGAUUGCCCUGC
RNAcentral lists this long non-coding RNA (570 nucleotides) under Manacus vitellinus (golden-collared manakin). RNAcentral describes it as "lncRNA (ENSMVIG00005018820.1)". Lineage: Eukaryota; Metazoa; Chordata; Aves; Passeriformes; Pipridae. The record is from RNAcentral.